AGGGGUAUAGCUCAGUUGGUAGAGCGGCGGUCUCCAAAACCGUAGGUCGCGGGUUCAAAUCCUGCUGCCCCUG
RNAcentral lists this transfer RNA (73 nucleotides) under Bartonella bacilliformis. Its description in RNAcentral is "tRNA-Trp". It matches the Rfam family "tRNA". Rfam says of the family: Transfer RNA (tRNA) molecules are approximately 80 nucleotides in length. The record is from RNAcentral. Lineage: Bacteria; Pseudomonadati; Pseudomonadota; Alphaproteobacteria; Hyphomicrobiales; Bartonellaceae. RNAcentral also lists the same sequence under 1 other name.